This 588-nucleotide small RNA is filed under the name Pongo abelii (Sumatran orangutan). RNAcentral describes it as "retained intron". The record is from RNAcentral. Lineage: Eukaryota; Metazoa; Chordata; Mammalia; Primates; Hominidae.
CGUAUUUCUGUUUUGACCUGUGGAGCCCCAUUCAAAACUUAGGGGGAAAAAAACUUUAAAAAAUUUAUGUCUGUUUGUUCUCGUGUUUGUCUAUUUUGUGUUUUGUAUUCCAAAACGUAUGUUAAGUUUUCCAACAUUUCUUUUUCAUUACCUCAGAGUAAGCGCCUAGGAUCCCUUAAUAAGUUUAAGGCUAAAGCCCGUUCCAUUCUUCUAGCAACUGACGUUGCCAGCCGAGGUUUGGACAUACCUCAUGUAGAUGUAGUUGUCAACUUUGACAUUCCUACCCAUUCCAAGGAUUACAUCCAUCGAGUAGGUCGAACAGCUAGAGCUGGGCGCUCUGGAAAGGCUAUUACUUUUGUCACACAGUAAGUAAAUCAGCUUUAGGGGCAGAGCAAUGUAGAGAAAAGAGCAGAACUUUGGAGCCACUGGCUGAGAACCUGACACUACCAUUUACUACACUAAUCACUUUCAUACUGAAAACCAGGAUGAAGGAGUUGAAAGAUGGGAAUAAUAAGACCUAUCUAGCAGGGUUUUGGUGAAAAUUGGAGAUUAUUUAUGUAAAAGAUCUAGUAUAGUAUUUGGCAUGUA